RNAcentral lists this ribosomal RNA (406 nucleotides) under uncultured bacterium. RNAcentral describes it as "partial 16S ribosomal RNA". It matches the Rfam family "Bacterial small subunit ribosomal RNA", at positions 29 to 526 of the family's 1533-position model. The record is from RNAcentral.
AUUGAACGCUGGCGGCAGGCCUAACACAUGCAAGUCGAGCGAGCGGCGGACGGGUGAGUAAUGUCUGGGAAACUGCCUGAUGGAGGGGGAUAACUACUGGAAACGGUAGCUAAUACCGCAUACCAUCAGAUGUGCCCAGAUGGGAUUAGCUGGUGGGUGGGGUAACGGCUCACCUAGGCGACGAUCCCUAGCUGGUCUGAGAGGAUGACCAGCCACACUGGAACGGCGACACGGUCCAGACUCUUACGGGAGGCAGCAGGGGGGAAUAUUGCACAAUGGGCGAAAGCCUGAUGCAGCCAUGCCGCGUGUGUGAAGAAGGCCUUCGGGUUGUAAAGCACUUUCAGCGGGGAGGCGUUACCCGCAGAAGAAGCACCGGCUAACUCCGUGCCAGCAGCCGCGGUAAUAC